Molecule: long non-coding RNA, 1063 nt
Organism: Xiphias gladius (swordfish)
Lineage: Eukaryota; Metazoa; Chordata; Actinopteri; Istiophoriformes; Xiphiidae
Exons: 3
Source: RefSeq, a predicted model, not a curated record
AACCUUUUACCUGUGACACUUGUGACACCCCCAACCACUGAUCUCCACCCUCACCACCUACCCUUGGAUGCCCAGGCUCGCAGGGGGCUGUUCUCAUCAAUGACAUGGUAGAAGGUGAGGGGCAGGAUGAGGAAGGGGCUGUCGCUGGAAGUGUCCACUUGGAAGGGCACGUUCCUCUGGUCCAGACGAACCGUCUCGCCUUCCUUGGUCAGAGACGUCUGGAGCAGUUUCCCAGUCACCUGGAGGGAAAAAUGUGCACGAGUUGCUUCAGCUAUAUCGGUUCAACGUUUGACAAAUUGCUCAUGCACAUGAAAUUCACAUAUGUUGCGCGGUGACCUAUUCAAUAUCACUGUCAAUUUGUCUAGACAAAUGUGCAGAAUUUGUAGAAAUGGUGAAAAUACCUCAUAAUCUGUAUCUUUUUCUCCCUACAUCUACACGCACUUACUUGACACCCAAGCAGGAGACUCUUGCGCAUGUUGGCCACCCUGAUCAUCAGGCAGGGUCGGCCUUCAUGGGUCGACACCACAGCAUGUUGGCUAAACUUUACCGUCUCCCCUCGCUUCUUUGGCCGAGCAACCUGAGCAGAGAAAGCUGGAUGUUUUAUUAUUGGCUACCUUGGCCAGGAAGGUGCCAGUGAUGAAGAUCUCCAUCAGCAUGGUGAUGACCAGCUGGAUGAUGAGGAGGAUGAUGGCAGCUGGGCAUUCUUCGGUGAUGCAGCGAAAACCAUAGCCAAUAGUUGUCUGGGACUCCAGAGAGAAGAGGAAGGCCCCCGUCAGGGUCUGCAUCUGCAUCACACAGGGUGUGUGGUUUGAUGGAGGAUCGAACUCUGGAAACAUGUUGAAAAGGCAAAAAAAGUCUCCGUGCACCAGCGCCACCAGGUACCACAGCACACCAAACAGGAACCAGGUCCCGGCAAACGUGGCCGUGAACAGGAAGAACUUGUAGCGCCACUGCAUGUCCAGAAAUGUCGUCCAGAGGUCACGCAUGUACAGAGCGCUUCGCCCGCUGACGUGCUCGAUUCGCACGUUGCUACGCCCAUCCUUGGACAGAACACGCCUCCUCU